AAACCGCCUCGUCCUCCCCUCUCCUCCUCCGCCCGCCCCACAAACCCCAAACCCCAGUCAGUCCGCGAGUACGUACGCUCUCGGCUCUCCUCCCCCCUCCCACUGCCUGCCGCCGCUCGCUCGCCCGCCGCGCGCGCACGCCCAUUUCGUGCGCGCCCCACCUAACCUGACGACCCCCGCAGGAGCACGACGCCGCCCGCCACCGCCGCUGGCAUUGCGAGGUGCGCGCGCCGAUCGUCCUCCCCUCCUCCUCUCCCCGGCCGGCCCCGCCCGCUGCGCUCUCCCUCCCUCUCGCCUGCUGCUCACGCCCCUCCCUCGUCCCUGCAGGAGCGCGAACUGAAGGCGCGGCACCGUCUCCCUCCGCCCGCCCGCCUCCUUGGUUCCGGCUCCAGCGCACGGAGAAGUGGCUCGUCGGCUCCACGGCGGUGGCGGCCACCGCUCGCGCCGCUCUGGCGCGCCCCUGCUCCCGCUUCUCCACAUCUGGCAUCGUCGCGGUACGAACCUACCACGCCGCUGCACGCGCGUGUCUUUGUUUCAUUCUCGCCAUCUCGGAUUAAUCGCAACAGCGGCAUGGUUUCAGUAGACCGAUUACUGUCAAAUAUCGUUGUGGUAGAAGGCCCACUUCGUUUGCCGAUUUACACGGGAUUUUUUUUCCAGUUGCUCGCUAGUACUCUGUUUGCGAAUUGUCGGCAACUUUGUGUGGAACCAUCUGCCAUUUCUUCGAUUUUCCUCCCCUUGUUGCCAAUUGUCCGCCCAGGGAGAUCUUUCCAUGGCAAAGAGAGGGAUCCCUCCUCGUCCUCCUCAAAAUCCCCGCCGGGCCUCGGUUUUUUCCUCAUUGUACCAAAUGAAGCCUCGAGCAAGUGUGUUUGCUGCGGCGGGGAUCUCUAAUCUGUGGGGUUUGCAACUUCACGGGGGCGGAGGAGGAUCACUGCGGUUUCUCCGUCACGGGUCUUCCUAACUAUAGCAUUCGGUGAUAGCUUUGUUCUUGAACAAUUAUUCCACAUGCACAGCUGUACUCGCUGCAGAGCAUUUUCCUUCCUUUUUGGGUGGUUUUUAUGGAGCUUUUCCCUGUUCGUCUCCCAGAAUCUUACACUGUAUUUGUACUUCUUCCUCAGAAAUUUUACGGAGCUUUUCUCAGUGUUCUCGGUUUCAAUUCCGUUCAUUUUGCUCGCCUUUUUGAUGAAAAAAAGUGCUCAGUAAUUUCUGUUCGUGCAAAUUCCGCCCCCGGUUUCGCCGUCGUGGCGUCAGUUCAAUUAAACCCAACCCUUCGUGCUGUUUCGGGCUACGCACGUACUUAGUACUCUUUUGCAGCAGCCGUAGACUCCCGGCCCACGGUUGGCCGCACUUUGUUUUGUGCGCACUCUUGAAUGCAGUAGAACUACCAUUAAUAUGCUGCUAAUCGUACUUGGUUUGUCAGGCCUUUCAUACGGCCCCAUAAACAAAUCGCUCCCAAAUGAUGGCCCAAAUCAUUGGGGAAAACAUUCUACUCUGGUUCUUCAUGUUUUGCUUAGAUUAGUUGUAUAGCGUGGCGAGUAAGGAUCUGCAUCUUUACCACGCAAAAAAGAAAAAGAUCUGACAUCUUUAGGCAGAAAUGCUGAUAGUGGCAGUAACCCCCUUUGCAAUUACCCCGCAAAUUUGUAUUAUUGUCACCCAUUGCCUCUCUGAAUUGGUCUGGUCCAGUCCAAUCGCUGUUCUGGCUCCCAGGUUUAAAGAACCAGGAUCAGAGAGCCCGGUCAGAGGCUCGUGUGAUGGGGAGGGGGGCAUGAUUUGACGUGGUUGUUCAUUUAAUCCGCAGCGGUGGAGGUGUAUGCAGCACGAUUCUUCUGUGCUCAGCUUGCGUAUUGUGUCGCCACUUGCUGAAUCUCGUGGGGAAGGGGAUGUGUGUGGGAGUGGUCUUUCUUGCUUUUCCUUUCCUCCCUGUGCGGCUGUGUUCGGUUACGCUCAGCCUGGCGAGGUUUUGGGUCCAAUCCACGCGGGUCCGCAGGGAUUACCCCCGCCGGGGAAUAAACCCGGCUCAUCCAUUUUUUCUCGUUCGGUUAAGCCCCGCGUUGUAUUUCCCCGGCCCAAACCUCUCCAAACCCACGCGGAAAAAAUCAUCCACUAGCACCCCGUGGAAGGAAUCCCCGAGCGAGGCGCUCGUCUCAUCUCUCCCGAGCGACAGAAGCGGCGGCAAGGAGGCGGCGGGGACGAGUGGACGGCGGCGGCGCAACCUACCCGGAGGAGGAGGAUGCCCUCCUGCUUCGACGACCUGCCACGAAGCCCGCCGGAACCCUAGCCUCUGAUUGUCCCAUCUCCCCGGCCGCCCCCUUGCCGCGGCCGGAACCCGCUAGCUCCGGAGAAGUGGUUGCUGCAGGCGAGGAGAUCUCUGGUUAGUUCUCUCUCUCCCUCCCCCCUCCCACUGCCUUUCUCUCUAGCAGCACUGAUUUGCCCCCUCCAUGAAAACCUAGCCAAAUAUUGAUCUGUCUUCCCGAAUGUGGUCGUCAAGGUCGAGACUUUUCUUGGGGUUUCCUAGGAACUAGCAUCAAUUUUUAUUUCAUGAUUUGUCCUCCCGAAUGUGGUCGUCAAGAUCUGUCUUCCCUUUGUUAGUAAUUUGUACUGGAGUCAGCAGUACAAUUUUGUGUUAGUAAAUGGAAUCAGCAGGUUACUCUGUACUGGAGUCAGCAGUACAAUUUGGUGUUAGUAAUUUGGAUUUGUUUUAUUUUUCUCGACAUAAUUAUUGUAGUAGUAGUAUAAUUGUUAGUCUAUCUCUUGGUAUAAAGAAGGACUAUCUAAUCUGGAGGAACAACAAUGCGUGUUGUUUUUGUUGCUGGCUGCUGAUAGUACAGUAUGAUGUUCGUCCCAAAAUGUAGUAUGUGAACCUAAUCUCUGUUAGCAGCAGGGCACAUACUUCCAAACAUUUUUUAUGUCCAAACACAAGAUACUUCUGGUAUGAUCAUUGGUAGAUUAUAUAAAUUGUUCUCUUCAUGGUGUGUGAUCAUCAUCUGUUCUUCAUUGGUACACAUUGCAGUUGUCCUUUUUUCUAGUGUUGUCCUUUUUGUUAGAUGAUGUUCCGAUGCCAGAUAUUUUGAUGAUGCCAGAUAUAGGCUAGCUUCGUCACCUCACAGCUGCAGCAAGACCCUGAAUUGGGCAGCAUCGUGAAGGACAAGGUAGAUUAAUCCUCUUGUUUUAAUCUUCUCCUUUUUCAUGUACUGUUGGUUAUUAUUGCUUGGUCGAUAGAUCUGUGUUACAAACUGUUUUUUUGGUAAGCUGAGAGCUAUGUUAAUAUCUUACAUUACUAGACAUUGUAGUUGUUAAAGAAUUUUAGCUCUUACUGUAGUUGUUUUUUUGGUAAACUGUUUGUUUGUACAACUUGCACUCUUACUGUUUAGGUGUACAACUAAACUCCUUGCAAGCCAUUUAGUCCAUGUUGUUGCUGCUGCUGCUGCAGUAAAGACAUUAUUUUCUGCUGAAAUGGAUAGUUGUUUUUAAUAUAUUUAUGAAGUUCUUUUGCAAACUAUUGGACUGACUGGUUAUAGGAAUACUUUGCUUGAAUAAUACAACCUUUUUUCAAAUGAUUGCUUGAUGUAUCGACACAGGUUGACAAGUGCUUGUGUUGUAGCUAGUCUAGGCUGAUUUUCUUGUGGUUGUAGUCAUUGUCUAUUUCUAAACUGCUAUGAUGCCUUGUCCCUAGAAAAUAAAAAGGGAUGCUUUUAACAUAGAUCAGAGGAUAUAGAUUGAUUUACCUACUGUUUAUGUAUGUUUUUCUCAUUGUUUCCAUUCCUGGAAAUAAAACUGCCAAGUAUUUCACUCUCAAACUAAUUUUGGUUUUGAAUGGUUUCAAAAAGCAGGAGUUCUACAUAAGAAUGCUCCAGAAGAAGGACGAAGGUGCCGCGACUUGGAUCUAUUUGUGUGUGCUUUUCAGUGGAAGGCUUCAUAUCUAUUCGCUGGGUUUUGGGAGGAACUGAUAAUUAAGCUCUUGUGGUCUAUUCAACAUAUUAUAUAUUAUGUAUGCUCCAAAUUGCUAUUAUUUUUGUUAGUAUUUGUGCCCUGUUCAAAUCUUAGAAUUGUUGUUAUUGUUAGGAUAAUAAGUGUUUUAAACCUUCAGUGCUAUUGUCACUUCAGUCUGCAUCUGUGUCAUUACUACAUGAGAAUUGUUGUUAUCUAUAUGUACCACCUCUGUUUGCAUCUCUGUCAAUACUGUUGUCCCUGUGGUCCAGCGCCCUUGGGGACUAACCGAAUGCAUGAGAGUGGUGUGGAUUGCAUACUGGCAGGGAUUUGGUCCCCAAGUGGUUUUGGUGUCAAGCGGGGAUCAUCCAAUCCUCUAGAGGAUUAAAUCCACUAGAGGAUUACUUCCGCCUCAACCGAACAAGGCCUGCAGGAGGUGGCAUCCCUGCCUGCCUGCAUUUAUGAUGCUGCAUGCUUGGUUUUGUGCCAUCUGAUCUGAUGUAAAGCUGCACCCCUACCAUGCAGCAUUACUACCAUCCUUUCUCGUUAUAGGAAAACAGUCGAGUGGCUUGUGAAUUUUGUGUUGGAUGGAUGUUUCUG
RNAcentral lists this long non-coding RNA (4524 nucleotides) under Triticum aestivum (bread wheat). RNAcentral's name for it is "long non-coding RNA (TAES_LNC000675)". Lineage: Eukaryota; Viridiplantae; Streptophyta; Magnoliopsida; Poales; Poaceae. The record is from RNAcentral.